This 1350-nucleotide ribosomal RNA is filed under the name Herminiimonas glaciei. Its description in RNAcentral is "16S ribosomal RNA". It matches the Rfam family "Bacterial small subunit ribosomal RNA", at positions 90 to 1442 of the family's 1533-position model. The record is from RNAcentral. Lineage: Bacteria; Pseudomonadati; Pseudomonadota; Betaproteobacteria; Burkholderiales; Oxalobacteraceae.
GGCGAGUGGCGAACGGGUGAGUAAUAUAUCGGAACGUACCCUAGAGUGGGGGAUAACGCAGCGAAAGUUGCGCUAAUACCGCAUACGAUCUACGGAUGAAAGUGGGGGAUCGCAAGACCUCAUGCUCAUGGAGCGGCCGAUAUCUGAUUAGCUAGUUGGUGGGGUAAAAGCCUACCAAGGCAUCGAUCAGUAGCUGGUCUGAGAGGACGACCAGCCACACUGGAACUGAGACACGGUCCAGACUCCUACGGGAGGCAGCAGUGGGGAAUUUUGGACAAUGGGCGCAAGCCUGAUCCAGCAAUGCCGCGUGAGUGAAGAAGGCCUUCGGGUUGUAAAGCUCUUUUGUCAGGGAAGAAACGGUGAGGGCUAAUAUCCUUUGCUAAUGACGGUACCUGAAGAAUAAGCACCGGCUAACUACGUGCCAGCAGCCGCGGUAAUACGUAGGGUGCAAGCGUUAAUCGGAAUUACUGGGCGUAAAGCGUGCGCAGGCGGUUAUGUAAGUCAGAUGUGAAAUCCCCGGGCUCAACCUGGGAAUGGCAUUUGAGACUGCAUGGCUAGAGUGUGUCAGAGGGGGGUAGAAUUCCACGUGUAGCAGUGAAAUGCGUAGAGAUGUGGAGGAAUACCGAUGGCGAAGGCAGCCCCCUGGGAUAACACUGACGCUCAUGCACGAAAGCGUGGGGAGCAAACAGGAUUAGAUACCCUGGUAGUCCACGCCCUAAACGAUGUCUACUAGUUGUCGGGACUUAAUUGUCUUGGUAACGCAGCUAACGCGUGAAGUAGACCGCCUGGGGAGUACGGUCGCAAGAUUAAAACUCAAAGGAAUUGACGGGGACCCGCACAAGCGGUGGAUGAUGUGGAUUAAUUCGAUGCAACGCGAAAAACCUUACCUACCCUUGACAUGUACGGAACCUCUGAGAGAUUAGAGGGUGCUCGAAAGAGAGCCGUAACACAGGUGCUGCAUGGCUGUCGUCAGCUCGUGUCGUGAGAUGUUGGGUUAAGUCCCGCAACGAGCGCAACCCUUGUCAUUAGUUGCUACGAAAGGGCACUCUAAUGAGACUGCCGGUGACAAACCGGAGGAAGGUGGGGAUGACGUCAAGUCCUCAUGGCCCUUAUGGGUAGGGCUUCACACGUCAUACAAUGGUACAUACAGAGGGCCGCCAACCCGCGAGGGGGAGCUAAUCCCAGAAAGUGUAUCGUAGUCCGGAUUGUAGUCUGCAACUCGACUACAUGAAGUUGGAAUCGCUAGUAAUCGCGGAUCAGCAUGUCGCGGUGAAUACGUUCCCGGGUCUUGUACACACCGCCCGUCACACCAUGGGAGCGGGUUUCACCAGAAGUAGGUAGCCUAACCGC